Molecule: small nucleolar RNA, 74 nt
Organism: Panthera pardus (leopard)
Lineage: Eukaryota; Metazoa; Chordata; Mammalia; Carnivora; Felidae
Gene: SNORD1A
Product: small nucleolar RNA, C/D box 1A
Source: Ensembl
GCAAGCCUAUGAUGGUUAGUUAUCCCUGUCUGAAAACCUCGGCUGAGGGGAAACCCAUCUAUUCUGAGGCUUUG